This 403-nucleotide ribosomal RNA is filed under the name uncultured Methanosaeta sp. Its description in RNAcentral is "bacterial SSU rRNA". It matches the Rfam family "Archaeal small subunit ribosomal RNA", at positions 936 to 1338 of the family's 1478-position model. The record is from RNAcentral. Lineage: Archaea; Methanobacteriati; Methanobacteriota; Methanomicrobia; Methanotrichales; Methanotrichaceae.
CCGACAGCAAUAUGAAGGCCAGGCUGAAGACUUUGCCGGAUUAGCUGAGAGGUGGUGCAUGGCCGUCGUCAGUUCGUACUGUGAAGCAUCCUGUUAAGUCAGGCAACGAGCGAGACCCACGCCCACAGUUGCCAGCGUACUCUCCGGAGUGACGGGUACACUGUGGGGACCGCCGCUGCUAAAGCGGAGGAAGGAAUGGGCAACGGUAGGUCAGUAUGCCCCGAAUAUCCCGGGCUACACGCGAGCUACAAUGGUUGGUACAAUGGGUAUCUACCCCGAAAGGGGACGGGAAUCUCCUAAAACCAAUCUUAGUUCGGAUUGAGGGCUGCAACUCGCCCUCAUGAAGCUGGAAUCCGUAGUAAUCGCGUUUCAACAGAACACGGUGAAUACGUCCCUGCUCCUU